GAUGAACGCUGGCGGCGUGCCUAAUACAUGCAAGUCGAGCGAACAGAUGAGGAGCUUGCUCCUCUGACGUUAGCGGCGGACGGGUGAGUAACACGUGGAUAACCUACCUAUAAGACUGGGAUAACUUCGGGAAACCGGAGCUAAUACCGGAUAAUAUAUUGAACCGCAUGGUUCAAUAGUGAAAGACGGUUUUGCUGUCACUUAUAGAUGGAUCCGCGCCGCAUUAGCUAGUUGGUAAGGUAACGGCUUACCAAGGCAACGAUGCGUAGCCGACCUGAGAGGGUGAUCGGCCACACUGGAACUGAGACACGGUCCAGACUCCUACGGGAGGCCGCAGUAGGGAAUCUUCCGCAAUGGGCGAAAGCCUGACGGAGCACCGCCGCGUGAGUGAUGAAGGUCUUCGGAUCGUAAAACUCUGUUAUUAGGGAAGAACAAAUGUGUAAGUAACUAUGCACGUCUUGACGGUACCUAAUCAGAAAGCCACGGCUAACUACGUG
RNAcentral lists this ribosomal RNA (497 nucleotides) under uncultured bacterium. RNAcentral describes it as "partial 16S ribosomal RNA". It matches the Rfam family "Bacterial small subunit ribosomal RNA", at positions 28 to 507 of the family's 1533-position model. The record is from RNAcentral.